Molecule: small RNA, 98 nt
Filed under: Helicobacter pylori 26695
Lineage: Bacteria; Pseudomonadati; Campylobacterota; Epsilonproteobacteria; Campylobacterales; Helicobacteraceae
Description: Heliobacter pylori small RNA HPnc0580
Rfam family: Heliobacter pylori small RNA HPnc0580
Source: Rfam by way of RNAcentral
CCCCAUUCGUAUCUAGUAUAGGAAGUGUGAAAAGUUACGCCUUUGGAGAUGUGAUGUGUGAGAGAGAAUGCGUUGGAGCUUAAACUCUGUAAAAUCUC